UAACAAGGGUUAGAAUCCCAUCUUUACCCCACCUGGACUUACCAGCAGGUGUGAGCAAAGCAGGUGCUUAGGGAGAACUUGUGGCUGGGGUGGAGGAAGGAGCAGGGUAAUGAGUCACCUGGAGAAGCCUUGAGUACAUGCAAGGAAAUGAGUCAUGGUUUAGAAAAUUCCUGCUCCCUCGCCCUCGGACUGGCUAGACUCUAGGGCACAUUCACUUGAGUAUCUUCAUAAGAAUAACCAAGUCUAACGCAUCUUUGUGCACUGAGAGGAUGCUGUGUUUGGAGAUAGUCUGAAGUCAUUGGGAUCCAAGCCUGAGAAAUAUCGUGGGUUAUGAGGUAACUCAGAAAGCAUCUAUUUUGAGGACUUUUCAACACUUGUCUCCACCCAGUCACUCCACUGAAAUGGAGAAAUCCAACUUGACCUCAAUUACGACUACUGAGCUACCAUUUUGCGGGGGAUUUAUCAAGGGCCGGACUCUGCUCUAGACUACUGGUGUAAAAGAUCACUGCUAAUCCCCCCAGUGGCUCUCUGAGGAACAUAUAAUCCCAACAGAACGUGGGAAAGACAUGGGAAAAUCCCUACUGCGGCACAGUACACAAAAUAUCUGACCAAUUAUCUUCAAAACUUCAAGGUCAUCAAAAAACAGGAAAAAUCCAAGAACUUCAGCCAAGAGAAGCCUAAAGAGAUAGCUGAUGACUGAACGCAGUUGGUGUCCCAGCUGGAUUCCGACCAGAAGCGGCACAUUAUGUAAAAACGAAGGAAAUCUGAG
Molecule: long non-coding RNA, 769 nt
Organism: Talpa occidentalis (Iberian mole)
Lineage: Eukaryota; Metazoa; Chordata; Mammalia; Eulipotyphla; Talpidae
Exons: 5
Source: RefSeq, a predicted model, not a curated record